Molecule: long non-coding RNA, 508 nt
Filed under: Prunus persica (peach)
Lineage: Eukaryota; Viridiplantae; Streptophyta; Magnoliopsida; Rosales; Rosaceae
Description: long non-coding RNA (PPER_LNC005538)
Source: RNAcentral
ACACAUCUCACUUCACUUAGUGUUUUUGACAACAAAAGCCCAAAAAUUCUUCACCCUAUUUAGUUAUGAGCUACAAGCAUACCAGGAGUCAAAUAAAGUACAUACAAUCUCAAUUUGUUAUACAUAUCCUAUCAACAAACCAACCCAGCUAUGAAGACAGUCUGUCUAUUUCAGGUUGCACAACCUUUGCAACCACAACCAGCCCAUUUAUAUUACGUCGGACACAAUUGAAGCAGACAAAUUAAGGAGGCACACUCAUGAUAAGCCCUUGGAACCAGGAAGGUCAAUCCAUUGCAACUGAAUUUCCACUUCACCACAUUCCACAUUUCUCAGUCUGAGGCACAUGUCUUGGACCACCUUCCCAUCCUUCCAGAGAAUGCAGCUCUCCUCAGCUAGGCAGUUGGCCCUGCUUGGUUGUAUUCUCAUGACGGUCGUGCCACUUGCGACCCCUUCUAAGUUCAUCUUCAAUGCCUCUAUAUAAGGUACGAUGCCAAAUUCUCCAUCUCCC